Arachis duranensis is the source of this 740-nucleotide long non-coding RNA. RefSeq lists it as uncharacterized. The transcript is spliced from 3 exons. The record is from RefSeq and is a predicted model, not a curated record. Lineage: Eukaryota; Viridiplantae; Streptophyta; Magnoliopsida; Fabales; Fabaceae.
UCCAAAUCUCAAAAAAACCCUAAUUCUUCAUUUCUGAUUUGGUGAACCAGUUUUAGCUCGCACGAAAUCACCAAUCCUUUUCUCCUUCGCCCCGCAGCCGGCACCGCCGCACCGGAGCAGGCAACUGGCACUGCAGUUUCGUAGCUGCCACCACCACCACAAGCGCGUCGCGCCACUGCUCUGUUCCGCCAUCCGCGGUUUCGCCGUCCGCCUUUUCUCGCCGUGACCCAGCUCUGUUCUUCUCCGUUCUCUGGGUACCCUCAAGGUGCCGUCCGCCUUUUCUCGCCGUGACCCAGCUCUGUUCUCCGUUCUCUGGGUACCCUCAAGGCGCCGUCCGCCUUUUCUCGCCGUGACCCAACUCUGUUCUUCUCCGUUCUCUGGGUACCCUCAAGGUUAGAUAGGUUUACCAAAGCAAGGUUGUGUGGUUGUCCUUUGAUCAAGUGUUGACGGUGAUUUCUCAGAAGAACCAUUCACAGAGGCUCACCAAGCACCAGAGCAAGAUGACUGAAAACAGUAAUAUUGAAGCAACAGGGAUGUCCGCUAGCAUUCAACCAUCUUCUCCGCCGUCAGGUGUUCGUAAGAAUCGGUCAGUUGUCUGGGAUCAUUUUGAUGUGGAGAAUGCUACCGAGAAGAAGGCUAAAUGCAAAUAUUGUGGUAGCUUAAUACAAUAUUGGAAUGGAACCAGCUCAAUGUGUGGUCAUUUGAGAAGAUGCAAGCAAAAUCCUAAUAAUGAUUCGAAC